GAUGGAUGGACAAGACCAUGGUGGCAAUGGUAUGUUCACCUCAUACCUACCCCUCGGAUCGGGGUAUGUGAGUACCUGAUUGCCUGAGCAGCGUGACUGUGGCUCAGACAGCCCCUUCCUUCAGACAAGGCAGCAAAGGGGUGGAAAUAAUGAGAAAAUGAGAUGGAAAAUCUGAGCUGCUUUGGCCAGAAGCUUAUCCUGGAUUUGGAUUCUCUUCUCCCUUGCCCUCCCCAAACAGAUACAAUCAAAGACACCCACUGGAUAUGAUGGAAAUGCUCCGGAAUGAAAAAUACUUUUGACUUCCAAACCUCUGCUCAUCUGUGAGGAACUGCCAGGUCUCAUGUUACAGGUGUCUAUGUAAAUGUAAGCAAUACAUUGCUGGUCUUCUGGAUGCAGAACCACCAAGCACACCCUGCCAACUCCCAUCUUGCAGCUCUGGCUGCUCAGGGUGGAUUUCAUGCUGUCUAUAGCAUCUCAGAGUCUAAUCUGCCCCGUGAACUUGGCACCACAAUCUUGCUGGCGCCUCAAGCUGCUAUGGAGACCAUUGGUGUUUGGAAGUCCCCACAAAGGACAAGGUGGUGCCACUGCUGCUAUGGAGCAUGAGGUUGUGCCACCAACAGAACUCCUGUGGUCAAAGGUAUUGCUGGAUAAGGCACAAUCCCCCAACCCCAGCCUUGUCCCGGCUAGAUGACCCAAAGUGUCCUUCAUCCCCGCAUGUGACCUGUCACUCCAGCUCUCAUCCUGUCCUGCUAGAAAUGGAUACGUUGGAGAAUGCUGGCUACAGGGUAGUAGUACACUGUGGCUGGUAAGGGAAAUCAAAAAAUCAUAAAAUCAUAGAAUGGUUUGAGUUGGAAGGGACCUUAAAGAUCACCCAGUUCCAACACCUCCCACUGGAUCACUCAAAGCCUCAUCCAUCCUGGACUUGAACACCUCCAGGGAUGGGACACUCAUGACUUUUCUGGGUUUCUCUGUGCCAGUGCCUCAGCACCCUCACAGUCAAAAAUUUCUUCCUAAUAUCUAAUCUAAAUCUCACCUCUUUCAGCUUAAAAUUGUUCCCCCACAUCCUAUCCCUGCACUCCUUGAUAAAGAGCCCCUCCCGAGCUCUCCUGUGACCCCCUUUAAAUACUGGAAGCUGCUCUAAGGUCUCCCUGUAGUUUUCUCUUCUCUAGGCUAAACAAGCCAAACUCUCUCAGCCUAUCUUCACAGGGGAGGUGUUCCAUCCCUCUGAUCAUAUUUGUGGCCUCCUCUGGACUCUCUCUAACAGAUCCAUGCCCUUUCUGUGCCGUUAAGUGGCCUUGCAUUAAGAUGGGAAACUGGGCUUUAGUCCUUGGGUGGGUUGCCUGGAACAUUGCGAGGUGGUCUGGAAACAAAUAUGAGACAUCUGAGGUGCCAGCAGCUCCACGGAGUGCCACGCAGGCAGGGCAGGAGUUAAUCUGGAGGGUGAAGGUGUUUAGGACCCUUCUCUCCACCAAAAAAAUCAAGGCUUUGGUGAUCACAGCAGAUUUCACGUUUCCAAAUAAGGCUGAGAGUUUUCCUAAGUAUUUCAAAGGCAGAUUAUAUCUCUUCAGGUUUGAACACUGAUUCAUCCCAACUUGAGCCAAGGUGACUCAGAUUUUGUAAAGUGGAGCCAGGAAAACUAUUUAAAGGGUCUUAAUAAUAAAGUGCUCAUCUCCUUUUGCACUGGUUUUUCUUUUAUUUGAGUGGCAUGUAAUAGGGUAUCUGUGAGGAGACCCUCAACACCUCACCAUGCUCUUACAGGGCCAUAGGUUCCCUGCCUCAGUCUCAAAAAGGAAAAAGCAAAGUGGGCAAUUCCAGAUAAGCGGUGUCUGGGUUCUGUCCCAAAGGAGUAAGAGACCCAAAAGAUUUUCAAACAAGGUGCAGCCCUGGAAAACUGGCUGUAACCCAGAAAAUCCUUGACUAUGCAUGAAGAGAGUGGCUGAAGUCCCAAGUGACUUCAGCAUCUACUGUAUUGUCUUAGAUAUUAAAUUUCAUCCACUUCUACCUUCUUUCUCACUUAGACAGCUUACAUUUGACCACAACUUAUAUUGUGUUUGUCUAACUAUCUCUGCCCCCUACACCAAGCUCCAUCCCUUCAUCUGAAGAGAUGACGACAUACAAACCAAUCCACCUCUGCCUUCUGGGGAUUGCUCCAACGAUGAACGGCCCGACUCAAACCUGUGUGUAGAGCUGCUCUUGUGGAUUUGCCUGACUUUCGUGUCUAUUCCCUGCUUCUCACUAUGACUUUUCUAUGUUAAAAUCCCACUCAACAUGCCAUCCCUUCAUCUGCUCAGACAUUUUACACUAUAUAUGAAAGCUGUAUCACUGACUUCUUUAGAGUGUUGGAUUUUUUUUUCUCUCCAAAAGACAAACUCAAAAUUUGAACUCAAUCUCAUCUCAGAUCAUGCUGCAUUACAGGAACUAUCAUAUCUUACGGAGCUCUGUGGACCUUCAUGGCAAGUGAAUGGCAGCACACCUUUAAACUCUUCUGCUACGUUUUUGAUUUUUACUUUACAUGGAAGGAAAUGUGGUGGUUGCUGGUCCUCUCCUCCCUUUGCUAUGGUCAGAUAUGUUUUUUCCAUUAUUACGCCCCUAAUCCACAGGCAACUUCAACACAAAGAGUACUGACAGCUAGAAUGGAGGAUAAGAGGUUGCCUGGUUUACUCACAUCCCAUCAUAGA
This is a long non-coding RNA of Cuculus canorus (common cuckoo), 2678 nucleotides long. RefSeq lists it as uncharacterized. The transcript has 3 exons. NCBI's taxonomy places the organism in Eukaryota, Metazoa, Chordata, Aves, Cuculiformes, Cuculidae. The record is from RefSeq and is a predicted model, not a curated record.